Molecule: ribosomal RNA, 487 nt
Filed under: Vibrio alginolyticus
Lineage: Bacteria; Pseudomonadati; Pseudomonadota; Gammaproteobacteria; Vibrionales; Vibrionaceae
Description: bacterial SSU rRNA
Rfam family: Bacterial small subunit ribosomal RNA
Source: RNAcentral
AUGCAGCCAUGCCGCGUGUAUGAAGAAGGCCUUCGGGUUGUAAAGUACUUUCAGUCGUGAGGAAGGUAGUGUAGUUAAUAGCUGCAUUAUUUGACGUUAGCGACAGAAGAAGCACCGGCUAACUCCGUGCCAGCAGCCGCGGUAAUACGGAGGGUGCGAGCGUUAAUCGGAAUUACUGGGCGUAAAGCGCAUGCAGGUGGUUUGUUAAGUCAGAUGUGAAAGCCCGGGGCUCAACCUCGGAAUAGCAUUUGAAACUGGCAGACUAGAGUACUGUAGAGGGGGGUAGAAUUUCAGGUGUAGCGGUGAAAUGCGUAGAGAUCUGAAGGAAUACCGGUGGCGAAGGCGGCCCCCUGGACAGAUACUGACACUCAGAUGCGAAAGCGUGGGGAGCAAACAGGAUUAGAUACCCUGGUAGUCCACGCCGUAAACGAUGUCUACUUGGAGGUUGUGGCCUUGAGCCGUGGCUUUCGGAGCUAACGCGUUAAGU